GGCUGACUAGCUCAGUUGGAUAGAGCAUCAUGCUAAUAAUGUGAAGGUCUUGGGUUCAAUCCCCACAUCGACCA
This 74-nucleotide transfer RNA is filed under the name Laccaria amethystina LaAM-08-1. It matches the Rfam family "tRNA". Rfam says of the family: Transfer RNA (tRNA) molecules are approximately 80 nucleotides in length. The record is from Rfam by way of RNAcentral. Lineage: Eukaryota; Fungi; Basidiomycota; Agaricomycetes; Agaricales; Hydnangiaceae.